This is a small nuclear RNA of Neomonachus schauinslandi (Hawaiian monk seal), 107 nucleotides long. The record is from RefSeq and is a predicted model, not a curated record. NCBI's taxonomy places the organism in Eukaryota, Metazoa, Chordata, Mammalia, Carnivora, Phocidae.
GUGCUCGUUUUGGCAGCACUUAUGCUAAAAUUGGAAUGAUACAGAGAAGAUUAGCAUGGCCCCUGUGCAAGGAUGACAUGCAAAUUCAUGAAGCGUUCCAUAUUUUU